GUCAGGAUGGCUGAGUAGUCUAAGGUGCCAGACUUAAGGCGUAGAUGCCUUCUGUAGUGGGUGGGUGUUCUGGUUUCUGUAUGGAGGUGUGGGUUUGAAUCCCACUUCUCACA
RNAcentral lists this transfer RNA (113 nucleotides) under Alligator mississippiensis (American alligator). It matches the Rfam family "tRNA". From Rfam's summary of the family: Transfer RNA (tRNA) molecules are approximately 80 nucleotides in length. Their secondary structure includes four short double-helical elements and three loops (D, anti-codon, and T loops). The record is from Rfam by way of RNAcentral. Lineage: Eukaryota; Metazoa; Chordata; Crocodylia; Alligatoridae.